AGCAGCCGCGGUAAUUCCAGCUCCAAUAGCGUAUAUUAAAGUUGCUGCAGUUAAAAAGCUCGUAGUUGAAUUUCGGGACUAAUAUGUCGGUCGUGCCUCGGUACGUACUGGUUUAUUGGUUUCUCCUUUCUGAAGAACCAUGAUGUCAUUUAUUUGGUGUCGUGGGGAAUCAGGACUGUUACUUUGAAAAAAUUAGAGUGUUUAAAGCAGGCUCACGCUUGGAUACAUUAGCAUGGAAUAAUGAAAUAGGACGUUUGAUUCUAUUUUGUUGGUUUCUAGGAUCGACGUAAUGAUUAAUAGGGAUAGUUGGGGGCAUUAGUAUUCAAUUGUCAGAGGUGAAAUUCUUGGAUUUAUUGAAGACUAACUACUGCGAAAGCAAUUUGCCAAGGAUGUUUUCAUUAAUCAAGAACGAAAGUUAGGGGAUCGAAGACGAUCAGAUACCGUCGUAGUCUUAACCAUAAACUAUGCCGACUAGGGAUCGGAUGAUGUUAAUUUUUUAAUGACUCAUUCGGCGCCUUAC
RNAcentral lists this ribosomal RNA (520 nucleotides) under uncultured Glomus. RNAcentral's name for it is "SSU rRNA". It matches the Rfam family "Eukaryotic small subunit ribosomal RNA", at positions 569 to 1091 of the family's 1831-position model. The record is from RNAcentral. Lineage: Eukaryota; Fungi; Glomeromycota; Glomeromycetes; Glomerales; Glomeraceae.